This is a long non-coding RNA of Gallus gallus (chicken), 5470 nucleotides long. RefSeq lists it as uncharacterized. The record is from RefSeq and is a predicted model, not a curated record. The transcript is spliced from 4 exons. Lineage: Eukaryota; Metazoa; Chordata; Aves; Galliformes; Phasianidae.
AAAGUGGUUAGAGUAUUAUUUCUGUUUUGUGUGUGUGUGGAUUUUUUUUUUUUUUUAUUAGAAUGAAGAUUGAAAAGUACAGCAAGUGCAGCAUAAGGAAGAGUUCAUUCAGAUAUGCAGAGUUGCAGUGUGCAGAGCUGUGAAAGGCCCUGGUCUUCCUACUAAAAUGCAACUUGAAUAAAAUUAUUGAGGUUAUGGGGACAUAAUUGAGGCCAUAAUCUGACUUCUGUGUAGAAGUUACAAAAGAAGACAACUCCAAAAUGUACUGAUAGAGAUUAUCCCAUCAGAGAAAUGUAUUCAUUUUUUUCCAAUUAGUAAUCAAUGAGAUUUUUAGGAUUUCUGUAUAAUAUUUUUCAACAAUCCUAGGUAGUAAAUUAUUGAUAAUUGCUAUUGAUUAUCCUCAUUUACAGAAGCUACUUUUGCAGCUUCAGAGGAAGGGGAUGGUUGUCAAGGUCUUUGUUUUUUGCUGAGUUGGAGUAUUGACUGUGUUGAUUAACUCCAUGGUUGCUAUUUUGAUUUUUUUUUUUUCUUCCCCUAAGACAGGGGAAGUAAUCUCCUCCAAGACAGAAGUAACCUCUGCAUUCUUUUGUCACUAAUGCUGUGUUGAGAUAGUAAUCCACACUCUCUGCUAUUCAGAAAAAUAUUUGAAGAGACGAGAGAGGUGGAAGAUUCUCCCCAGUAGUACUGAUGUUCAUUAUAUACUGAACUGCUUGAUCUGAAAACCUGUGUGAUAAGGGAGUACAUGAAGAUAUCUGUCCUGUGCAACUACUAGCUCUGUAAAUGAAGUUGUUUAUCAUACCUAGAGGAACUGGGUCAAAACCUGUGUUGAAACUUAGACAAGAAGUAUGCUGAAAUUUUUCUGUAAAGAAACUGCCUUUGAUUCCACUUCUCUUCACCUCAUGCAAGAGGAAGAACAAGAAGAAUUUGUUUCGUCAACUGAGGUCAUCUCAUACCUGUGCUUUUCUCAAUGAGAAGGAACAUCAUUUUAAGAGUCUAUACCUGUUUCACAAUUGCUCCAACAGUUUUGGAUGAAAAUAAUUUACCUCUUCUGAGAGCCUAUUUGGAUACCAUAAGCUUCAACUCUGACUGAGCUUUUGCUGCACAAUUUUUCUCCCUACAAAGGCAAACAGCACCUUUGUAGUCUUCCCAUGUUGCCCGACCUCACUUCCAGUAACCUUCUGCCUAAGAUCCAGAAGAAGAUAUCUAUUCAGGCAAGCCUUCCUUCCGCCCUGCCUGCUUGACACUGACAUUUUGGAGUUGUUAACUGCAAUUUUCCUGCACUCUUAGGAGAUGGUACCUAAAUUGUGCACAGUGCAGAUGGACAGCAGUGUCUCCAAAACCAGUUUUCCAGAGGACCUUACAAACUAGUUCCACUGAGCAGCAUGAAAUCUACUCUAGUAUUAAAUGUGGAGGUUGGUGGCUCUGCCUGUGGCAGGGAGGUUGGAGAUUUAUGAUCCUUGAGGUCCCUUCCAACCUGGGCCAUUCUGUGAUUCUGUGAUACUCUCCUCAUAUCCAGAGUUAAGAUUUUGGUGGCAAUUUUCCUCCUAUCACUGAAGUUUGUAAAUUUGACAACUUCAUGGCCAAAAUGGGCACCAAUCAUCACUUCACCCACAGAACCUUCUCUGUUCACAAGUAACAGGUCUAGGAGCGCACCUUUCCUCAUGAACUCCUUUUGUAUCUGUACCAGGAAGUUGUCAUCGAGGUUUUUUAGGAAUCUCCUGGACCUAUUUGUAUCAGCUGGUGGUGUUCCCACUUAAUAUCUGGCAAAUAGAAAUCCCAUGUAAGGACAAGGGCAAUUGAUCUAGAGGUUUGUCUUAGUUUCUUAAAGAAUAAUUCACUGGCAUUGUCAUUCUGGCUGGGUGGUCUAUAGUAGACGCCGCAACGACAUCCCUUUUAUUUGCUUGUCCCUUAAUCCUUACCCAGAAGCUCUCAGCCAUGUGGUCACCAACUGACAGCUCAUUACAGUCCAGCCCAUCCAUUACAUCCAGUGCCACCCCCCCCACCUUGCCUACUUUGCCUGACAAAAUGUUUUGUGUUUCUGAUAGAUACAGUGUCAGAAAGAAAUGGAGGAGACUUGAAUAUCUACAAUUUCUGUUACCCUAAUAAUACUGAAUUUCUCUGAGUAUUUGAAUAAAUUACGAUCCAUUAGGCAGAUAUUUUCCUUGCCUUGUACUUUUUUUUUUUUUUCUGUUUAUACUUUACUAUAGAUAAAUGAGUGUAUUGAUGUUUCUUGGGGAAACUUAGAUGCCCUGAUAAAUAAUUACCUUUUACAGACAUUUGAUUCAUUUUCAUUUCUUUCCAGUAGAGAUGAAAGCUAUUCAGCGCACAAUAACUGGGGAGAAAAACAGGCCUGACCUUUAAGGAGCAGUGCAUGACUUCUUCAAUAAGCACAGACAAACCCACGCUAAAAUUAACUGUCUAGAUGGGAUCAUUUUUAUCAUCUUGAAGAGAUCUGCCUGUAAUGAUAUGGUUGUGAUUGGUUUCUGUAAUGUGCAGGCCAAUCUUAUCAAUACAAUCUAUUGAUCAAUUAAGAACUUGCCAAAUGUCCUCCACCAGGCAGUUACUAUAUUUGCUGUAUGUUUUUUUAUGCAUUUACAACUAAAGUGAAGCGGGGUAUUGUUAAAAGUUGAGCAGAAAUUACUGCAUAUAGUCCUUCAUCAUUCAGUACAUUGGGAUGAAACUUUAGCACCUCAUCUGUAUUAGUGUAGAGAAAAUAUCAGACACUGACAAACCUGAUAUAAGAAAAUUAUUGGAUUCUAGGUUAGUCAUCUGGUUUUAUAGUGAUUAUACAAUUAUGGGCAACAGUUUGUCAGACUGUAGUGUUUUAAAGCUAUGUUGUUUUUGAUAUAUUUAAUUUUAAUACAUUUUAAAAUUAAAUUAAAUUGCAUUCUAGGCAUUUUAAAAUAUUUUGAUUUAGAAACUAUUUUUACCUUCUCUACCAUUUGCAUUUUCCAUUCCAUCAAACUAUUAGAAAAAAUACUGCAUUCGUAUACAUGUCUAUUUAAUAUUGUUUCAGCAUUUAUAGGAUGAUUUUUUUGAGGGUAUAUGCUUCUAAGUUGUAUUCAACACAUUUAUGAAGUGUGCUUUUGGAAAGUUUGUCUUACUGCCAUUCAUGUUUUGACAGAUAUUUUCCCUGGAGAGGCUGUUUAGCCCGUGCUAUUUUGUAUGUUGUAGGUUCAAUUUCUCUGCAAGGAAACACUUCUUCACUGGCUAGAUAUGAAAUAAAUAUAUGUUACUAAGUAGAUAAAAUCCCUACCACUUAGUGUAUACCUAGAUCUUAUUAUCAUUGAGAUGUCAAUACUUUGGAAUCAAAAUAAUUGUAACUUAAGCCACAGAACCUUUCAUACUUCCACUUUUGUUUGCAAAAGUUUGAAUAUUUCUGAUCCUGUAAAAAUAAUUAAAUCAAUAUUGCACAUUCGUAUAAUUCCAUGUUAAUAUCAAGAAUUUGGUCAUGAGAUAGGGACAAAUAUAAUUAACACCUGCUGUUAUUGCUGCAAUAGAAGUAGGUCAGCAACAGGUGGUAGUAUUGAAUAUUGGCUUUUAUAUUUUGCUCUCAUUAUUGUUGUUGCUCGUAUUCCUUCAGAAGUAUUCAGAAUGUUAGGAUUUUUAAAUAUGUUUCUUAUAUUCUAUUCAGGAAAAAAAAAACCAAAAACACUUUAUGAACUGUUUGUUUGAAUUUUUGAUUAGUGAUGAAUUGUAUCACUUUGCUCUAGACUCUGAAGAAUCAGCCAUUUAACUUUUCAAAAUGUAAUUGUAACUCCUAUGCCUGCAGUUCCAGGGUAUCCUCAUAGACCAAAUUGCCAGGCCUAUUCUGAGUGGGUUCUUCUGUCUUGAUGAAUUAGAUAGAAUAAGUAACACAGAUGCAGACAACUAUAAUCAGUAAAGUUACUUUUUAGAACUAUUAGCAGAUUUUUAUUUCAUUUUCUCCUAUCAUGUGUUAAAAAAAAAAAAUGAAGAAAAUAAGAUAGCCGUUAAUCUCGUUUUUUUUUUUGUUUGUUUGUUUGUUUGUUUACUCCUCGCUCUCGGUUUCCUCACUAAUAUAAAUGUUAUUGAUACACUAAAGUCGAGACAUAAAAAAAAAAAAUCAAACUCGAUUUUUUUUCUGGAAAAAAUCAACAAAAUAACUACAAAAAAUCCUUAAUCAUUAAAAAAAAAAAAAAAAGAAAAAAAAGUAUGAAAAUACAAAGGAUAUUUUGAGAUGUCUAUUUUUCAAUUCUGACACAGAAUGAAAGGACAUUGUAGAAAUAGUCAAAUUUUCUGUGGAAUAAAAAAAUCUAUGCAGUAGCAUGAUAUUUUGGACAGAUUUGGAAUGCAAAUAAACAGGUUCUUAUGCAACUCUACUCUCCAAAUGUAGAGUGCUACUCGUACUAUUAACCCAAUUUUUAUUUAAUUUUGAAAAUUUUACUUAUUUCCUUCUUCCAUCACUACCCAUGUGGUUCAGAUAGGAGAAUCAUCUUUUUGCGUGCUACCAGUAUCUCCAUCCUACAGGUUACUUUUCUUAAAAGAAGUAAUACUGAGUAUUUUUUUUAUUAUUAUUAAUAUGUUUACUAACUGAAGAAGAUGAAGACAAACAUUGCUUAUGUGUAGCUUUUCAGGCUAUUGUUUUAAUAGCACUAUUUAUUUAUUGAAACAAAAAAAAAAAUUGUUUUCUCAAGGUGAGGAAACUGCUUAGGGUAUAAGAAAAAAAGAAACAGACUAAAUAGAACAUCACCUCUUAAUGAUGUGAUAAGAAUGCAUGAAUAAUAUGGCAUGAGUACUUAGUGGUAUUCAGAAUUUGGUGUGACAUAUCACUGAGUGGCCAUAGAUGAUGUGUGUGUCACACACAAGCAUCUGUAUCUGAAAAUAGGUAUAGAAAGCUUGAUCCUGGAGAACAGUGAUGAACACUUCUCUGUACUUCCAGAUGUUUUUGUUAGUCUACAUUGUGACAGAACUAGGAUUCAUGAUGGUCCAGGAUGUUAGUCUCUAAAAUGCACUUGCAAAAUUUCUGGUCAGUGCAAUUUAAAAUGGCUGUUAAACUAUAUAUGGUGCAGAAAAUUGGAUUAAUAAUGUAACUCUCCAGAAAUUCACUGCUAUUUGGAAUUGCUGGACAUAGUUAUAUGUAAUGAAGUGCAGGUUAUGUUAAAGUAAAGGAUUAUUAAAGGUGAAAGGCAACAGACUUCUCAAAAACGUAGACAAAUAGUGACUUCAGGCUUCUAAAUUACUUCAUAUUAUUAAAUCCAUUCUAAAUAAAAGAUAUCAUUCACAGAACCUAAUGUCUGUGAUUUCACAGUGGAGACCAAAAGAGUAUCACUUUCACAGUCUUUGUCUAUACCUCAUGCUUAGUUAGUAGCAGCUAACUCUUAUUUCCUCACUGUAUGUUUUCACUAGAACUCUUGAGAUAUUUCUCUUCAAUCAUGAAAAUGCUAUCAUUUUGCUACCAACAAACAAUGCAAAUCAUACAAUUUUUAUUAUAUACAUGCUAUCUUUUACA